Molecule: ribosomal RNA, 497 nt
Filed under: uncultured bacterium
Lineage: Bacteria
Description: partial 16S ribosomal RNA
Rfam family: Bacterial small subunit ribosomal RNA
Source: RNAcentral
GAUGAACGCUGGCGGCGUGCCUAAUACAUGCAAGUCGAGCGAACAGACGAGGAGCUUGCUCCUCUGACGUUAGCGGCGGACGGGUGAGUAACACGUGGAUAACCUACCUAUAAGACUGGGAUAACUUCGGGAAACCGGAGCUAAUACCGGAUAAUAUAUUGAACCGCAUGGUUCAAUAGUGAAAGACGGUUUUGCUGUCACUUAUAGAUGGAUCCGCGCCGCAUUAGCUAGUUGGGAAGGUAACGGCUUACCAAGGCAACGAUGCGUAGCCGACCUGAGAGGGUGAUCGGCCACACUGGAACUGAGACGCGGUCCAGACUCCUACGGGAGGCAGCAGUAGGGAAUCUUCCGCAAUGGGCGAAAGCUUGACGGAGCAACGCCGCGUGAGAGAUGAAGGUCUUCGGAUCGUAAAACUCUGUUAUUAGGGAAGAACAAAUGUGUAAGUAACUAUGCACGUCUUGACGGUACCUAAUCAGAAAGCCACGGCUAACUACGUG